Molecule: non-coding RNA, 244 nt
Organism: Brachypodium distachyon (stiff brome)
Lineage: Eukaryota; Viridiplantae; Streptophyta; Magnoliopsida; Poales; Poaceae
Gene: MIR166B
Product: microRNA MIR166b
Exons: 1
Source: RefSeq, marked provisional
GCUAGAGAGGGAGCCUUUUUCGUUUUGAGGGGAAUGUUGUCUGGCUCGGGGUUCUCUUUAUUUCUAUGCCUCUCUCUAUCCCCCCCUCCUCAAUCUCUCUAGCUUUGAUUGGAUCGAGAGAAGAUCGAUCGAUCGAUCCAAGAAGAGUUCUGAGAAGGGGGAUGAAGAGAGUAGACGUAUGUGUGUAGAUCUCGGACCAGGCUUCAUUCCCCCCAAAUACAAGGGCUCCCAUGAUCUCUGCCUC